CCUACGGGAGGCAGCAGUGAGGAAUAUUGGUCAAUGGACGGAAGCCUGAACCAGCCAUGUAGCGUGCAGGAUGACUGCCCUACGAGUUGUAAACUUCUUUUGUAAAAGGGUAAAGUUAAACACGUGUAUCUUGUUGUAUGUACUUUACGAAUAAGGAUCGGCUAACUCCGUGCCAGCAGCCGCGGUAAUACGGAGGAUCCGAGCGUUAUCCGGAUUUAUUGGGUUUAAAGGGAGCGUAGGUGGAUUGAUAAGUCAGUUGUGAAAGUUUCGAGCUUAACCGUAGAAUUGCAACUGAUACUGGCAGUCUUGAGAGUAGAUGCGGUAGGCGGAAUGUGUGGUGUAGCGGUGAAAUGCUUAGAGAUCAUACAGAACUCCGAUUGCGAAGGCAGCUUACUAAUCU
Molecule: ribosomal RNA, 400 nt
Filed under: uncultured bacterium
Lineage: Bacteria
Description: partial 16S ribosomal RNA
Rfam family: Bacterial small subunit ribosomal RNA
Source: RNAcentral